Molecule: ribosomal RNA, 503 nt
Filed under: uncultured bacterium
Lineage: Bacteria
Description: bacterial SSU rRNA
Rfam family: Bacterial small subunit ribosomal RNA
Source: RNAcentral
GAUGAACGCUAGCGGCAGGCCUCAUACAUGCAAGUCGAGGGGCAGCAGGACACUUCGGUGUUGCUGGCGACCGGCGCACGGGUGCGUAACACGUAUGCAAUCUGCCUUGUACUGGAGCAUAGCCUUCGGAAACGAAGAUUAAUACUCCAUACAGUCUUACUAGCGCCUGUUAGUAAGAUGAAAGCUCCGGCGGUACAAGAUGAGCAUGCAUCCCAUUAGCUUGUUGGUGAGAUAACAGCUCACCAAGGCGACGAUGGGUAGGGGUUCUGAGAGGAAAAUCCCCCACACUGGCACUGAGAUACGGGCCAGACUCCUACGGGAGGCAGCAGUAGGGAAUAUUGGUCAAUGGGCGCAAGCCUGAACCAGCCAUGCCGCGUGCAGGAUGAAGGCCCUCAGGGUUGUAAACUGCUUUUGUAUGGGAAUAAAAAAGUCCUUGCGAGGACUCUUGAAGGUACCAUAAGAAUAAGCACCGGCUAACUCCGUGCCAGCCGCCGCCGUAACAC